UACGGAGGAUCCGAGCGUUAUCCGGAUUUAUUGGGUUUAAAGGGAGCGUAGGUGGAUUGUUAAGUCAGUUGUGAAAGUUUGCGGCUCAACCGUAAAAUUGCAGUUGAAACUGGCAGUCUUGAGUACAGUAGAGGUGGGCGGAAUUCGUGGUGUAGCGGUGAAAUGCUUAGAUAUCACGAAGAACUCCGGUUGCGAAGGCAGCUCACUGGACUGUUGACUGACACUGAGGCUCGAAAGUGUGGGUAUCAAACAGG
Molecule: ribosomal RNA, 254 nt
Filed under: uncultured bacterium
Lineage: Bacteria
Description: partial 16S ribosomal RNA
Rfam family: Bacterial small subunit ribosomal RNA
Source: RNAcentral